Molecule: ribosomal RNA, 861 nt
Filed under: uncultured archaeon
Lineage: Archaea
Description: bacterial SSU rRNA
Rfam family: Archaeal small subunit ribosomal RNA
Source: RNAcentral
UAUGAAAGGAACGCGGCACACAGCUCAGUAACAUGUGGCUAACCUGCCCUUAGGACAGAGACAACCCCGGGAAACUGGGGCUAAUCCCUGAUAGGCGUGGGAUUUCUGGAAUGAACCUACACCUAAAGGAUUUCUGAAUCAUGCUUUGGACGUCGCCUAAGGAUGGGGCCGCAUCCGAUCAGGUUGUUGGCGAGGUAAUGGCUCACCAAGCCUUUAACCGGUACGGGCCGCGGGAGCGGUAGCCCGGAGAUGGACACUGAGAUAAGAGUCCAGGCCCUACGGGGCGCAGCAGUCGCGAAAACUCCACAAUGGGCGAAAGCUCGAUGGGGCUAUCCCGAGUGCCAACCGCUGAGGAUGGCUUUUCUCCAGUGUAAGGAGCUGGAGGAAUAAGGAGAGGGCAAGUCUGGUGUCAGCCGCCGCGGUAAUACCAGCUCUCCGAGUGGUAAGGAUGUUUAUUGGGCUUAAAGCGUCCGUAGCCGGCUCGGCAAGUCCUCCGUUAAAUCCAGCGAUUCAAUCGUUGGGCUGCGGGGGAUACUGUUGGGCUAGGGGACGGGAGAGGCCGACGGUAUUCUCGGAGUAGGGGUGAAAUCCUAUAAUUCCGGGAGGACCACCAGUGGCGAAGGCUGCCGGCUAGAACGAGCUCGACGGUGAGGGACGAAAGCUGGGGGAGCGAACCGGAUUAGAUACCCGGGUAGUCCCAGCUGUAAACGAUGCGGGCUAGGUGUUAGGGUGGCUACGAGCCACUCUAGUGCCGCAGCGAAGGCAUUAAGCCCGCCGCCUGGGGAGUACGGCCGCAAGGCUGAAACUUAAAGGAAUUGGCGGGGGAGCACCACAAGGCGUGAAGCGUGCGGUUUAAUUGGA